GUGGGGAAUAUUGGACAAUGGGCGCAAGCCUGAUCCAGCCACGCCGCGUGAGUGAUGAAGGCCUUCGGGUCGUAAAGCUCUGUGGGGAGGGACGAACCGCUGGUAAUUCAUACCUACCAGCAUGACGGUACCUCCUUAGCAAGCACCGGCUAACUUCGUGCCAGCAGCCGCGGUAAUACGAAGGGUGCAAACGUUGCUCGGAAUUAUUGGGCGUAAAGCGCACGUAGGCGGCUCCGCAAGUCGGAUGUGAAAUCCCUCGGCUUAACCAAGGAAGUGCAUCCGAAACUGCAGAGCUUGAGUACUUAAGAGGAUCGCGGAAUUCCCGGUGUAGAGGUGAAAUUCGUAGAUAUCGGGAGGAACACCAGUGGCGAAGGCGGCGAUCUGGGAAGAUACUGACGCUGAGGUGCGAAAGCGUGGGGAGCAAACAGG
Molecule: ribosomal RNA, 429 nt
Filed under: uncultured Haliangium sp.
Lineage: Bacteria; Pseudomonadati; Myxococcota; Haliangiales; Kofleriaceae
Description: bacterial SSU rRNA
Rfam family: Bacterial small subunit ribosomal RNA
Source: RNAcentral